Molecule: non-coding RNA, 70 nt
Organism: Claviceps africana
Lineage: Eukaryota; Fungi; Ascomycota; Sordariomycetes; Hypocreales; Clavicipitaceae
Source: the annotation of a GenBank genome assembly
AUCCUAUAGCGCAGUGGUCAAGCGCCUAGAUAACCGCUUACGGUUGUAGGUUCAAAUCCUACAUAGGACA